UGAGCCAAGCGAUGAAGCCCUUCCUCGGGAU
Molecule: non-coding RNA, 31 nt
Filed under: Mus musculus (house mouse)
Lineage: Eukaryota; Metazoa; Chordata; Mammalia; Rodentia; Muridae
Source: RNAcentral